RNAcentral lists this ribosomal RNA (1140 nucleotides) under uncultured bacterium. RNAcentral's name for it is "bacterial SSU rRNA". It matches the Rfam family "Bacterial small subunit ribosomal RNA", at positions 8 to 1150 of the family's 1533-position model. The record is from RNAcentral.
AGAGUUUGAUCCUGGCUCAGGACGAACGCUGGCGGCGUGCUUAACACAUGCAAGUCGAACGGUAAGGCCCUUUCGGGGGUACACGAGUGGCGAACGGGUGAGUAACACGUGAGUAACCUGCCCACUUCUUCGGGAUAACGCUAGGAAACUGGUGCUAAUACCGGAUAUGAGCUCCUGCCGCAUGGUGGGGGUUGGAAAGUGUUUGUGGUGGUGGAUGGACUCGCGGCCUAUCAGCUUGUUGGUGAGGUAGUGGCUCACCAAGGCGGUGACGGGUAGCCGGCCUGAGAGGGUGACCGGCCACAUUGGGACUGAGAUACGGCCCAGACUCCUACGGGAGGCAGCAGUGGGGAAUAUUGCACAAUGGGCGGAAGCCUGAUGCAGCAACGCCGCGUGCGGGAUGACGGCCUUCGGGUUGUAAACCGCUUUCACCAGGGGCGAAGGCAUUCUUUUGGGGUGUUGACGGUACCUGGAGAAGAAGCACCGGCUAACUACGUGCCAGCAGCCGCGGUGAUACGUAGGGUGCGAGCGUUGUCCGGAUUUAUUGGGCGUAAAGGGCUCGUAGGCGGUUGAUCGCGUCGGAAGUGAAAACUUGGGGCUUAACCCUGAGCGUGCUUUCGAUACGGGUUGACUUGAGGAAGGUAGGGGAGAAUGGAAUUCCUGGUGGAGCGGUGGAAUGCGCAGAUAUCAGGAGGAACACCAGUGGCGAAGGCGGUUCUCUGGACCUCUCCUGACGCUGAGGAGCGAAAGCGUGGGGAGCGAACAGGCUUAGAUACCCUGGUAGUCCACGCUGUAAACGGUGGGUACUAGGUGUGGGGUCCAUUCCACGGAUUCCGUGCCGUAGCUAACGCAUUAAGUACCCCGCCUGGGGAGUACGGCCGCAAGGCUAAAACUCAAAGGAAUUGACGGGGCCCCGCACAAGCGGCGGAGCAUGCGGAUUAAUUCGAUGCAACGCGAAGAACCUUACCUGGGUUUGACAUGGAUUGGUAACGGUCAGAGAUGGCCGCCCCCCUUGUGGGCCGGUUCACAGGUGGUGCAUGGCUGUCGUCAGCUCGUGUCGUGAGAUGUUGGGUUAAGUCCCGCAACGAGCGCAACCCCUAUCUUAUGUUGCCAGCACGUAAUGGUGGGAACUCAUGAGAGACC